AGAACGCCCGGGCUUCGGCCUGGUUAUUCAUAACCCUUUGUUGUCCGACUCUGUUGCCUCCGGGGCGACCCUGCCUUCGGGCGGGGGCUCCGGGUGGACACUUCAAACUCUUGCGUAACUUUGCAGUCUGAGUAAACUUAAUUAAUAAAUUAAAACUUUUAACAACGGAUCUCUUGGUUCU
Molecule: unclassified non-coding RNA, 181 nt
Filed under: rhizosphere metagenome
Description: partial ribosomal RNA internal transcribed spacer region
Source: RNAcentral